GAUGAAGAACGCAGCGAAAUGCGAUAAGUAAUGUGAAUUGCAGAAUUCAGUGAAUCAUCGAAUCUUUGAACGCACCUUGCGCUCUUUGGUAUUCCGAAGAGCAUGCCUGUUUGAGUGUCAUGAAAAUAUCAACCUUGACUUGGGUUUUGUGCUCUAGUCUCGGCUUGGAAUUGGGUGCUUGCCGCUUUUACGAGCGGCUCACCUUAAAUGUAUUAGCUGGAUCUGUCUUUGAGACUUGGUUUGACUUGGCGUAAUAAGUAUUUCGCUAAGGACAUUCUUCGGAGUGGCCUCGUUUCUAGGACGCUUGUCCGCUUUCCAAUACAAGUUCCACCUCGUGGACAUGACUUUUUAUUAUCUGGCCUCAAAUCAGGUAGGACUACCCGCUGAACUUAAGCAUAUCAAUAAGCGGGAGGA
This 414-nucleotide unclassified non-coding RNA is filed under the name soil metagenome. RNAcentral's name for it is "partial contains 5.8S ribosomal RNA, internal transcribed spacer 2, and large subunit ribosomal RNA". The stretch from base 1 to 120 matches the Rfam family "5.8S ribosomal RNA", at positions 35 to 154 of the family's 154-position model. The record is from RNAcentral.